UCCUCCUUGGCGCAAUUGGCUAGCGCGUUCGACUGUUAUUACAUUGUUCUCAGUGUUCUGCAAUCGAGAGGUUCACAGUUCAAGCCUGUGAGGGUAUG
This 98-nucleotide transfer RNA is filed under the name Cercospora zeae-maydis SCOH1-5. RNAcentral describes it as "tRNA-Asn". The record is from RNAcentral. Lineage: Eukaryota; Fungi; Ascomycota; Dothideomycetes; Mycosphaerellales; Mycosphaerellaceae.